RNAcentral lists this ribosomal RNA (253 nucleotides) under uncultured bacterium. RNAcentral's name for it is "partial 16S ribosomal RNA". It matches the Rfam family "Bacterial small subunit ribosomal RNA", at positions 524 to 776 of the family's 1533-position model. The record is from RNAcentral.
UACGUAGGGAGCAAGCGUUGUCCGGAAUCAUUGGGCGUAAAGAGCGCGUAGGUGGCCUCAUAAGUCCGCUGUGAAAGUCAAAGGCUCAACCUUUGAAAGCCGGUGGAUACUGUGAGGCUAGAGUACGGAAGAGGCGAGUGGAAUUCCUGGUGUAGCGGUGGAAUGCGCAGAUAUCAGGAGGAACACCAAUAGCGAAGGCAGCUCGCUGGGACGUUACUGACACUGAGGCGCGAAAGCGUGGGGAGCGAACAGG